UACGUAGGGUGCGAGCGUUAAUCGGAAUUACUGGGCGUAAAGCGUGCGCAGGCGGUUCUCCAAGUCGGGUGUGAAAUUUCGGAGCUUAACUCCGAAACUGCAUUCGAUACUGCUGUGCUUGAGGACUGGAGAGGAGACUGGAAUUUACGGUGUAGCAGUGAAAUGCGUAGAGAUCGUAAGGAAGACCAGUGGCGAAGGCGGGUCUCUGGACAGUUCCUGACACUGAGGCACGAAGGCCAGGGGAGCAAACGGG
Molecule: ribosomal RNA, 253 nt
Filed under: uncultured bacterium
Lineage: Bacteria
Description: partial 16S ribosomal RNA
Rfam family: Bacterial small subunit ribosomal RNA
Source: RNAcentral